CACAUGUUUAUAGAAGCAAAGAUGAGAUAUGAGCGAGUACCCUGCGUUCUCACCUUGGAGUCUGCCGACUUCGACUUCCUCUCCUUCAGAGCAGCAGAUGUGUCAGACACAACCAUCUUUCUGACAGGGGUCAAGGGACGGGCCAGGGACGUUCCCCUAGGAGGGCUGACCUUCUAACGAUUCAAUCAUUUAAGAGGGAAACUAAGAUCACUGUGGAACACACAAACACAUUCCAAGUCAUUUAGUAAUUUGUUAAAAUUGAUGGGUUAUACUGCAGAUCCUUGACAAAAAAAAGAUCACUGAAGGGGAGGGUGGGGAAAAAUAUAAUACUUCAAAUGCUAUGCCAAAAGAAGAAAGAAAAUCUGUUCCACAACCCCAUUUAAAGGCAUCCUUAGCAUGUUCCUGACGUGAUGUCUGUUGAAAACGAUCCCAAAAUGAAUUGUCAAAAUAUGAAUUUCAAAAAUAGAUUCAAUAUAAAUACAUGAUAUAAAUGAAUGAUAAAAUUGGUGGGAAAAGCCAGAAAAUUCAUUCAAUACUAAUUAGUAUUUCAUAUUAAAAAUAGUUUAACUUAAAAUUGUACCUUUUAUUAGGGUGCUACAGUAUGUAUUUUUACAACCACCCAAAAAAAAAAAAAAAUCCAAAAUUCUUUUAUGCUCGCCAGGUCUACAUUAAUUUGAUUUAAGAAAUACAGUAAAAACUGUUAUAUUGUGAAAUAUGAUUACAAAUUUAAAUGUUUUCUAUUUUAAUAUAUUUUAAAAUGUCAUUUAUUCCUGUUAUGGCAUCACACCAGUCUUCAGUGUCACAUGGUUCUUCAGAAAUAUUUCUAAAAUGCUGACUUGGUGCUCAAGAAAUUUUAUGUUGCUUAAUAUUUUGAGGAAACCUGAUUGAUUGAUUGAUUGAUUGAUUGAUUGAUUGAUUGAUUGAUUGAUUGAUUCCCCCAGGAUUCUUAUAAAAAUGUCAAAACAGCCUCAUUUAUCUAAAAAUGCACCCUUACUAAAUAAAAGUCUUAAAAAUACAAUAUUUCUGUAGAACGGUAGUGUAUUAGUACAUCAUUAGAAAACUCCAUUGUUGCCAAUGUAGAGCAUUCCAAAUCAGUCACUUAAGAGGUUAGGAAGCUGCCUUAGAAGGCAGUUGCCUAUGUAGUAGACAGUAAUGCAGCUCGCUAGAUUUUGAGGGAAAACACAUCAAUUGAUUACGAGGAACCAGCCUUUAAACACAACAACAAAAGCAUUUUUUUUCCCUUUGAGGGAGAACUGCUUUUCCCAUUACAAAGAACGAUUGUGCCUUGAUAGCCAACAUUCUCUGUCAGCAUGUUAUGGCCCUACUAAUGCAACUGUAUAAAUUAAGAUUAUGAAAGAAUUAUUCUGCUCUGUCUAGCAAUUAAAGACACUCAAGUGUGGCUUUUGAGGGCAGGCAGCCAGACUCUCGCCGGCACCAGUCCUGGCACUCUCUCAUUCUUUGAGAGUGUCUCUAUUCAUCCUCCCUAAAACAUUUUUAUCAGAAUGGAAUGUGUGAACGAGUCUCCACGGCAGGCAGUUUUCUAGGGUUGAGUUUUUCUUACCAUCUGAUGAAGAUGCUCCUAUGUUAAUUAUUAUUAAAAGAAGUUUAUGUUUAAGUUCUAUGAACCUGCGAUCCUAAGCUAUCAAACAUCACCAUGUACCAUCAAAAAUCCUCACUAGGCUUUCAUACCACAGUCAGAACAUAAACAUUGACGUAUCAGAUCACAGUGUCUGAAAAAGUUUAUUUCAACCAAAAGCAUCUACUUAUAACUAACACAAAUCUGUUCACC
This is a long non-coding RNA of Cyprinus carpio carpio, 1789 nucleotides long. NCBI's taxonomy places the organism in Eukaryota, Metazoa, Chordata, Actinopteri, Cypriniformes, Cyprinidae. The record is from Ensembl.